Non-coding RNA from Paramuricea clavata, 1072 nucleotides. NCBI's taxonomy places the organism in Eukaryota, Metazoa, Cnidaria, Anthozoa, Malacalcyonacea, Plexauridae. The record is from the annotation of a GenBank genome assembly.
GCUUUGUUGUCCAAUCCUUCAUUCAUAGCUGUAUGUGUAUUUUUUAUAUAAUAUGAUUUGUAAAGUUAACAAAAAAAAACAACAAAAAACUGUCAGACUUGCGUACUUGCAACUCUCAAACUCGUAACCAUGGUGAAUUGCAGACUCGCAACUCGCAUGCCAGACAAACUCUGUCACAUAUGAUACAUCAUUCACGAUCGUUCACUUUUAUCUUCUUUUUCAGACGUUUGUUCGACGGACUCAACACACAUCCAACAUGAACUGCUGGAUCAUUUAUUCAAGAAUGAUUCAAACCAACACAUGAUAUUACCGGUGCUAAACUAUUCGGAUGCUAUGACUGUCAAAUUUGGAAUUACUUUGAUUAAAAUAAAAGAUGUGGUGAGCACUCUGAUCUUUUUUAGUUAGGCCAAAAAAAGAAAUAUGUGUGUUUCCGGUUUCCCGACCCUACCUAGCUUUUGGACGUCGAAAUCCCGACCCUAAACUUUUUUUAUUGGGUCAUGCUUGUAAGUGUUUCCACUUAGAGGAAAAAGUUUGUGGAAAAUUGAAAUUUGAGGCAAUAUUAGGGAAAUUUAUCUUUGGAUGUGGAAGCACUGACUAAACAAAAUGGCGUCCGCUUGUUCGGAAAAUUAAAAAAAAAAGUUAAAAAAAAAGUUAAAGCCGACCUACCCUACCUAAGUUUUUAUAAGAAGAAACCGGAAACCCACAUAUUUUUUUUGGCCUUACUGGACGAUUAUUAAGCAAAAUCAGGAGCCUUUCAACAUAUUCUGGUGGGCUUAGUACCCUAUAACGCCUGUUUGCGGGCUACUCGAAACGUAGAGGUUUUGCUUCUAUUUUUCAGGCACAGCUGUCUUUAUCGUCGCUACCCACAGUCCCACACUGGUAUAGACCACACAGUUCCAGACUAUCUACACUCCUCCCCCGACCCUAGAAACAAAAAAUUACGGAGGAUUUAUUUUAUAUGUCCUUACAUGACGUCAGGUUUUCAAAUCCAACUGUUAUUAAUUUUCGUGUAUUUUCCAUUCACAGAAUGCUAAAGAACAAACCAUUCAAGUACACGUGUGGAUCACUCAGG